This 305-nucleotide ribosomal RNA is filed under the name Sinorhizobium sp. DASA 57015. Its description in RNAcentral is "bacterial SSU rRNA". It matches the Rfam family "Bacterial small subunit ribosomal RNA", at positions 940 to 1222 of the family's 1533-position model. The record is from RNAcentral. Lineage: Bacteria; Pseudomonadati; Pseudomonadota; Alphaproteobacteria; Hyphomicrobiales; Rhizobiaceae.
GAAUCGAGGAACUGUGGUUUAAUUCGAAGCAACGCGCAGAACCUUACCAGCCCUUGACAUCCCGGUCGCGGAUUACAGAGAUAGUUUUCGUUCAGUUCGGCUGGAUCGGAGCCGGGGGAUGCUUGGCUGACGUCAGCACCUGUCGUGAGAUGUUGGGUUAAGUCCCGCAACGAGCGCAACCCUCGCCCUUAGUUGCCAGCAUUUGGUUGGGCACUCUAAGGGGACUGCCGGUGAUAAGCCGAGAGGAAGGUGGGGAUGACGUCAAGUCCUCAUGGCCCUUACGGGCUGGGCUACACACGUGCUAC